RNAcentral lists this long non-coding RNA (409 nucleotides) under Gallus gallus (chicken). RNAcentral describes it as "lncRNA (ENSGALG00010000758.1)". Lineage: Eukaryota; Metazoa; Chordata; Aves; Galliformes; Phasianidae. The record is from RNAcentral.
CAAACCAGUACACACCAGUACAAACCAGUGGUGUGGGGCAGCUAUGGGGCAGUUAUAGCACAUCUAUAGGGCAGCUAUGGGGCUGCUAUGGGGCAGCUAUAGGACAUCUAUAGGGCCGCUAUGGGGCAGCUAUAGGACGUCUAUAGGGCAGCUAUGGGGCCGCUAUGGGGCAGCUAUAGGACGUCUAUAGGGCCGCUAUGGGGCAGCUAUGGGGCAGCUAUAGGACGUCUAUAGGGCCGCUAUGGGGCAGCUAUGGGGCUGCUAUGGGGCAGCUAUAGGACGUCUAUAGGGCCGCUAUGGGGCAGCUAUAGGACGUCUAUAGGGCCGCUAUGGGGCAGCUAUGGGGCACUAUGGGGCUGCUAUGGGGCAGCUAUAGGACGUCUAUAGGGCCGCUAUGGGGCAGCUAUGA